This 424-nucleotide ribosomal RNA is filed under the name uncultured bacterium. RNAcentral's name for it is "partial 16S ribosomal RNA". It matches the Rfam family "Bacterial small subunit ribosomal RNA", at positions 360 to 776 of the family's 1533-position model. The record is from RNAcentral.
AAUUUUGGACAAUGGGGGAAACCCUGAUCCAGCCAUCCCGCGUGUAUGAUGAAGGCCUUCGGGUUGUAAAGUACUUUUGGCAGAGAAGAAAAGGUAUCUCGUAAUACGAGAUACUGCUGACGGUACAUGCAGAAUAAGCACCGGCUAACUAAGUGCCAGCAGCCGCGGUAAUACGUAGGGUGCAAGCGUUAAUCGGAAUUACUGGGCGUAAAGAGUGUGUAGGCGGUUCGGAAAGAAAGAUGUGAGAUCCCAGGGCUCAACCUUGGAACUGCAUUUUUAACUGCCGGGCUAGAGUAUGUCAGAGGGGGGUAGAAUUCCACGUGUAGCAGUGAAAUGCGUAGAUAUGUAGAGGAAUACCGAUGGCGAAGGCAGCCCCCUGGGAUAAUACUGACGCACAGACACGAAAGCGUGGGGAGCAAGCAGG